AUUGAACGCUGGCGGCAUGCCUUACACAUGCAAGUCGAACGGCAGCACGGGUGCUUGCACCUGGUGGCGAGUGGCGAACGGGUGAGUAAUACAUCGGAACAUGUCCUGUAGUGGGGGAUAGCCCGGCGAAAGCCGGAUUAAUACCGCAUACGAUCUACGGAUGAAAGCGGGGGCCCUUCGGGCCUCGCGCUAUAGGGUUGGCCGAUGGCUGAUUAGCUAGUUGGUGGGGUAAAGGCCUACCAAGGCGACGAUCAGUAGCUGGUCUGAGAGGACGACCAGCCACACUGGAACUGAGACACGGCCCAGACUCCUACGGGAGGCAGCAGUGGGGAAUUUUGGACAAUGGGCGAAAGCCUGAUCCAGCAAUGCCGCGUGUGUGAAGAAGGCCUUCGGGUUGUAAAGCACUUUUGUCCGGAAAGAAAUCCUUGGCCCUAAUACGGUCGGGGGAUGACGGUACCGGAAGAAUAAGCACCGGCUAACUACGUG
RNAcentral lists this ribosomal RNA (486 nucleotides) under uncultured bacterium. RNAcentral's name for it is "partial 16S ribosomal RNA". It matches the Rfam family "Bacterial small subunit ribosomal RNA", at positions 30 to 507 of the family's 1533-position model. The record is from RNAcentral.